RNAcentral lists this ribosomal RNA (252 nucleotides) under uncultured bacterium. RNAcentral's name for it is "partial 16S ribosomal RNA". It matches the Rfam family "Bacterial small subunit ribosomal RNA", at positions 524 to 775 of the family's 1533-position model. The record is from RNAcentral.
UACGUAGGGCGCAAGCGUUAUCCGGAAUUAUUGGGCGUAAAGAGCUCGUAGGCGGUCUGUCGCGUCGGCUGUGAAAACCCGGGGCUCAACCCCGGGCCUGCAGUCGAUACGGGCAGGCUAGAGUUCGGUAGGGGAGGACUGGAAUUCCUGGUGUAGCGGUGAAAUGCGCAGAUAUCAGGAGGAACACCGGUGGCGAAGGCGGGUCUCUGGGCCGAUACUGACGCUGAGGAGCGAAAGCGUGGGAGCGAACGG